RNAcentral lists this ribosomal RNA (250 nucleotides) under uncultured prokaryote. Its description in RNAcentral is "partial 16S ribosomal RNA". It matches the Rfam family "Bacterial small subunit ribosomal RNA", at positions 524 to 773 of the family's 1533-position model. The record is from RNAcentral.
UACGUAUGGAGCAAGCGUUAUCCGGAUUUACUGGGUGUAAAGGGAGCGUAGGCGGCCGUUUAAGUCUGAUGUGAAAACCCAAGGCUCAACCAUGGGAUUGCAUUGGAAACUGGAUGGCUAGAGUGUCGGAGAGGUAAGUGGAAUUCCUAGUGUAGCGGUGAAAUGCAUAGAUAUUAGGAGGAACACCAGUGGCGAAGGCGGCUUACUGGACGACUACUGACGCUGAGACUCGAAAGCGUGGGGAGCAAAC